AUGACCGACACGAAGCCGGCCAGCAGCGCCGAGGCCAGCAGCGCCAAGAACCGCCCGUAGCCCUCCAUCUUCCGAGCCCCAACGUUCAGCUGGCUCUGAAGCCUGUCCGACGGAGCAGGAGGAUACGGCCAAACAUACAUUCAGCGCUGCUUUUCUGGUAUUCGAUUAGCUUACUUUUGAGACAUACAUAGUGUCAAAAUACAUAAGGAUUAGAAAUGCAUUAAUUGAGAGAAAAAAACCCUACUGUCCUCUCUGGCUAGUCUUUGAGCUGUCUGGUAUCUUAUGCUCGAAUUGAAGCUUAAAAAAUGAAAGGAAACAGUUUUAGGGAACUUAAAAUAGCUUCAGUAGAAUAACUGCCAAUUACAAACCCAGUGCUUACCGAAGUGUUGGAAACAUCUACACAGAGACAUGAAGACCAAGCCAGAUUGGAGUGGGAUGCAAAUAUACUUCAUCAUUCUCUCUAAUCUCUGAAAAAUAGAUGUUGGUCCCCGACGUCAGCUUGAGCAUCACUUGCGUAAUGAUGUUCAGCUUUAAUUUGCAUGGAUUUGGUGUGACCUGUUCUCAGCAUUUAAGUAGCUGCUCAUCCUAGUCACAAUGGUAACUAGAACAUUGCUAUUGUUCAGGUUCACAAGUCACAGCAUCUAAAAGAAGUCAAGAUCCAAGCCCUGAACCUGCUGAUGAAUGCACUCGUGUGAACUUCCAAGGAUGCCAGCUUGUCAGUAGCUCAUGAGGCAAGCAGGUCGUCUCAAUAUUAUGUUUAUAAAAAUUUUACUGAGUUUUCUGUGGACUGCUUAAAUGAAGUUAAAAAUAUAUUUUUCUCUACUUUUCUGGAAUCCUUUACUCAUUGUCUCUUAAACCAUCAAAUUGUCUCUGUUGUAUUUUCAAAAAUUUAAUGUUUAGUUAUAGAGUAUUGUAAAAGCUUCAGAUUUGUGUUGAAAUGUUACAUAUCACAAAGCCUCAGUUUCAUACUGCUUGUCAAUUCCAUACAGGGAAUCACAAAAUGAUUACAUGUAAUUAAAAAAAAAAGGAUUCAUAGGACCCCAAAUGUGUCUAUUCUUUCCGGUUACAUGAUGUGGUCUAACAAAAUGCCUUUUGUCAUUGUAAAGCCUACAAACUAACAUAAAAUAUUUAUUGUAAUCUGCA
This is a long non-coding RNA of Falco peregrinus (peregrine falcon), 1143 nucleotides long. RefSeq lists it as uncharacterized. The transcript has 2 exons. The record is from RefSeq and is a predicted model, not a curated record. Lineage: Eukaryota; Metazoa; Chordata; Aves; Falconiformes; Falconidae.